GAUGAAGUGGCCGAGUAGGUGGUGGGUUGUAGCCCCAAAGACAGAGGUUUGAGUCCUCUCUUUAUCA
Molecule: transfer RNA, 67 nt
Filed under: Otophryne sp. AF3571
Lineage: Eukaryota; Metazoa; Chordata; Amphibia; Anura; Microhylidae
Description: tRNA-Tyr
Rfam family: tRNA
About the family: Transfer RNA (tRNA) molecules are approximately 80 nucleotides in length.
Source: RNAcentral